Vicugna pacos (alpaca) is the source of this 611-nucleotide non-coding RNA. Lineage: Eukaryota; Metazoa; Chordata; Mammalia; Artiodactyla; Camelidae. The record is from RefSeq and is a predicted model, not a curated record.
UCAGUUACUGCAGAGGAGCCCGCAGGGAUUGUGAUCGAGAACACGUUAAAUAUACGGAUCACUCUGGGGAGCACUGCCAUUCCAAGAGCGCUGUCUUCUGAUCCAGGAACGUGCGUGGUGUGUGUAUCCAGGUGCCCUCACCUCCAGUGGCAUCCAUCCAGACAACAGCACUGACACUGACCGUGCUCAGAACUGCCUCAGCCCUGAAGACACAACUGAGAAAUAGAAGGGGGCCGUGCCCUGUUACAGCAGGUGCUCUCACUUUGUGGGUCCUUAUGUAGCUGCGCGGUGUUAAUCAGGAUCGCCCGUUCUACAUUGUGUGGCGCUGCUGCGGUGACUCCUAGUUACUUGUUUCUCUCGCUUUAUUCACUCAGGGGUAUAUCAUAGACGUCCUCCCACUGCAGACUCACCCGGUCCUUUCAGAUAGAGUGGAGGGGUCUCCAGAUGUGCAGGUGUGGUCUCUUGUGCAAGGAUACCUUUGGUGGGAGAGUGCUGUGGACAAGGCCCUGGACCAUAGCGAAACGCCGGCUCCCUCAGCGCCCGCAGCUCGCCGAGAUUUACCGCAUCAUUGUGUUGAUGGUGGACACAGGUUUUCUCCAUUUUCCACUGUC